Molecule: ribosomal RNA, 1030 nt
Filed under: Glaesserella parasuis
Lineage: Bacteria; Pseudomonadati; Pseudomonadota; Gammaproteobacteria; Pasteurellales; Pasteurellaceae
Description: partial 23S ribosomal RNA
Rfam family: Bacterial large subunit ribosomal RNA
Source: RNAcentral
UCCUGUCCAACGUUAAUCGGGGCAGGGUGAGUCGGCCCCUAAGGCGAGGCUGAAAAGCGUAGUCGAUGGGAAACGGGUUAAUAUUCCCGUACUUGGUAAAGCUGCGAUGUGGGGACGGAGAAGGUUAGGUUAGCAGACUGUUGGAUGUCUGUUUAAGUUGGUAGGUGGGAAGUUUAGGCAAAUCCGGACUUCCAUAACACUGAGAGAUGAUGACGAGUUUCUACGGAAAUGAAGUAACUGAUACCACGCUUCCAGGAAAAGCCACUAAGCGAAAGGCUUUACUAAACCGUACUGAAAACCGACACAGGUGGUCAGGUAGAGAAUACUCAGGCGCUUGAGAGAACUCGGGUGAAGGAACUAGGCAAAAUAGCACCGUAACUUCGGGAGAAGGUGCGCUGGCGUAGGUUGUAAGAGUAUACCUCCGAAGGCUGAACCAGUCGAAGAUACCAGCUGGCUGCAACUGUUUAUUAAAAACACAGCACUCUGCAAACACGAAAGUGGACGUAUAGGGUGUGAUGCCUGCCCGGUGCUGGAAGGUUAAUUGAUGGUGUUAUCGAAAGAGAAGCUCCUGAUCGAAGCCCCAGUAAACGGCGGCCGUAACUAUAACGGUCCUAAGGUAGCGAAAUUCCUUGUCGGGUAAGUUCCGACCUGCACGAAUGGCAUAAUGAUGGCCAGGCUGUCUCCACCCGAGACUCAGUGAAAUUGAAAUCGCCGUGAAGAUGCGGUGUACCCGCGGCUAGACGGAGAGACCCCGUGAACCUUUACUAUAGCUUGACACUGAACAUUGAAUUUUGAUGUGUAGGAUAGGUGGGAGACUAAGAAGCAGGCACGCCAGUGCUUGUGGAGUCGACCUUGAAAUACCACCCUUUAACGUUUGAUGUUCUAACGAAGAUUACGAAACGUGGUCUCGGACAGUGUCUGGUGGGUAGUUUGACUGGGGCGGUCUCCUCCCAAAGCGUAACGGAGGAGCACGAAGGUUUGCUAAUCACGGUCGGACAUCGUGAGGUUAGUGCAAUGGUAUAAGCAAGCU